Vicia faba (fava bean) is the source of this 321-nucleotide non-coding RNA. NCBI's taxonomy places the organism in Eukaryota, Viridiplantae, Streptophyta, Magnoliopsida, Fabales, Fabaceae. The record is from the annotation of a GenBank genome assembly.
AUGUUUUCCGGUAACUGUACUGAUGCCAAUAACCUUAUUGUUGUCCAUUUUUCUAAUCACCUGAUUGAUGUUUCCUGAUCUGCUACGGCUUCUGACUCUGCCGAGAAUCUCCAACAGCCACCUGUCACUGUUAAAGAAAUAAAAGAUAAAAGAAUGAUGUCGAAUUGUGAAGCAACACGGGACGCCUCCCAAAUCAGAACUGCGAGACUUCCUUCGACCUAUACACAUAUUGCUCUGGCCAUCGCCAGACAUCCUCCAACUGCAGUCCAAAUCUCACGCGGUCACCGUCAAAUCACGACUGCAUCGUCCCUGUUUCCCUGA